Molecule: long non-coding RNA, 691 nt
Organism: Gallus gallus (chicken)
Lineage: Eukaryota; Metazoa; Chordata; Aves; Galliformes; Phasianidae
Source: Ensembl
UUUUUCUUUUGGAGAUUGCUCCUUGUGGAGUUUUCUUGUGAGCCUACAGCACUGUCCCCAACAGAAGACAAAAAACAACCUCCACAGAGGACAGUCCAAUCCUUGCCUACCUCAAAAAGCGUUUGUAAAGUUUGCUGGCACAUUUGCAAACAUAAAGGACAAGAGAAACUUGACGGGGGAAAAAUGAAGAGCAAUCAGCUUUAAUGAAUGUUAGCUGGAGCUGUGCAGCUUGAACCUUCCAUCAACAGAUUUCAUUCACUUUGUCCAUCAUUUAAAACUUUUCCAAAAAUUAAAUCCUUUCCAUGUGGCUCUGUUUCUUGUUGCUUCUAAAGCCAAGAGAACAGAAUUAAGGCUAGAAAUUAAGCAGAAAUGUGUUUUUCUACUUCUAUAAGGUUUGGGGAAAAUGUUAUGUUGCUUUACAAUCAAAAUUUGCUUUUACCUUAUGCAACUACUGAAUUAUAUUACUGUUAAACAAGGAAUAUUAUUAAGCAAUGAUUGAGGAGAACAACAUUGCCUUAUAUUACUUUUAGCUUGCAGAAGCCACUUUGUUUUAAACACUCAUUUGAAAAGAUCUGUUUGAAACCAUUUUCAAUUCAUUUGGAAGAGACUGUAUUUCAUGUUGUCUUGAGUGGCAUAGUUGGAUUUUUUUUUCCAUUUAACACAACUGUGGGGUUUUCUGUGUAAUUAAUAU